UCUUUGAGGAACCAGGAUUGCAUCUAAAUUUUUUUUAUAAAUCUAUAUGAAUAAAGAUCAAAUUUUUAUCUAGACAGUAGUAGAAUAAGAGAUCUAAAAUUAAUCUUUAUGGAGGUUUGAAAGUACAGACCCUCUACUUCGCAUGCACGCCAGACAACAUAUGAAAGCGGGAUGAACUCCAAUCAAAUCAUCUUUGCAACCCAAACAAAAGAAGAAGGAGAGGUGCUGGUGCCUCACACCAGCAAGGGGGACACCGAAGGAUGGGCCCAUGGCAAGGGAUGAGGGGGUGGCACGAUAGAGAGCACACCAAGGGUGGAACGCCC
RNAcentral lists this long non-coding RNA (323 nucleotides) under Elaeis guineensis (African oil palm). RNAcentral's name for it is "long non-coding RNA (EGUI_LNC006851)". The record is from RNAcentral. Lineage: Eukaryota; Viridiplantae; Streptophyta; Magnoliopsida; Arecales; Arecaceae.